Molecule: ribosomal RNA, 388 nt
Filed under: Macaca fascicularis (crab-eating macaque)
Lineage: Eukaryota; Metazoa; Chordata; Mammalia; Primates; Cercopithecidae
Description: partial 12S ribosomal RNA
Rfam family: Bacterial small subunit ribosomal RNA
Source: RNAcentral
GCUUGGCCCUAAACCUCAGUAGUUAGAUAACAAAACUACUCGCCAGAAUACUACAAGCAACAGCUUAAAACUCAAAGGACUUGACGGUGCUUUACAUCCCCCUAGAGGAGCCUGUUCCGUAAUCGAUAAACCCCGAUCCACCCCACCCUCUCUUGCUCAGCCUAUAUACCGCCAUCUUCAGCAAACCCCAAUGAAGGUUACAAAGUGAGCGCAAACGCCGCUGCCGCGAAUACGUUAGGUCAAGGUGUAGCCCAUGAGACGGUAAAAAAUGGGCUACAUUUUCUAUUUCAGAAAACCCCACGAAAACCCUUAUGAAACUUAAGGGUCCAAGGAGGAUUUAGCAGUAAAUUAAGAAUAGAGUGCUUAAUUGAACCAGGCCAUAAAGGCG